GACGAACGCUGGCGGCGUGCCUAAUACAUGCAAGUUGAGCGCUGAAGGUUGGUACUUGUACCGACUGGAUGAGCAGCGAACGGGUGAGUAACGCGUGGGGAAUCUGCCUUUGAGCGGGGGACAACAUUUGGAAACGAAUGCUAAUACCGCAUAAAAACUUUAAACACAAGUUUUAAGUUUGAAAGAUGCAAUUGCAUCACUCAAAGAUGAUCCCGCGUUGUAUUAGCUAGUUGGUGAGGUAAAGGCUCACCAAGGCGAUGAUACAUAGCCGACCUGAGAGGGUGAUCGGCCACAUUGGGACUGAGACACGGCCCAAACUCCUACGGGAGGCAGCAGUAGGGAAUCUACGGCAAUGGACGAAAGUCUGACCGAGCAACGCCGCGUGAGUGAAGAAGGUUUUCGGAUCGUAAAACUCUGUUGGUAGAGAAGAACGUUGGUGAGAGUGGAAAGCUCAUCAAGUGACGGUAACUACCCAGAAAGGGACGGCUAACUACGUG
RNAcentral lists this ribosomal RNA (497 nucleotides) under uncultured bacterium. Its description in RNAcentral is "partial 16S ribosomal RNA". It matches the Rfam family "Bacterial small subunit ribosomal RNA", at positions 28 to 507 of the family's 1533-position model. The record is from RNAcentral.